This 127-nucleotide small RNA is filed under the name Marmota monax (woodchuck). The record is from RNAcentral. Lineage: Eukaryota; Metazoa; Chordata; Mammalia; Rodentia; Sciuridae.
GCAGGGUGCAGUGGCGCACACCUGUAACCCCAGUGGCUGGGGAGGCUGAGACAGGAGGAUUGCAAGUUCAAAGCCAACCUCAGCAACUUUGCGAGGCACUAAGCAACUAAGUGAGACCCUGUCUCUA